RNAcentral lists this ribosomal RNA (417 nucleotides) under uncultured bacterium. RNAcentral describes it as "bacterial SSU rRNA". It matches the Rfam family "Bacterial small subunit ribosomal RNA", at positions 362 to 776 of the family's 1533-position model. The record is from RNAcentral.
UCUUGGUCAAUGGGCGAUGGCCUGAACCAGCCAAGUCGCGUGAAGGAUGACUGCCCUAUGGGUUGUAAACUUCUUUUAUAAAGGAAUAAAGUCGGGUAUGCAUACCCGUUUGCAUGUACUUUAUGAAUAAGCAUCUGCUAACUCCGUGCCAGCAGCCGCGGUAAUACGGAGGAUCCGAGCGUUAUCCGGAUUUAUUGGGUUUAAAGGGAGCGUAGAUGGAUGUUUAAGUCAGUUAUGAAAGUUUGCGGCUCAACCGUAAAAUUGCAGUUGAUACUGGAUAUCUUGAGUGCAGUUGAGGCAGGCGGAAUUCGUGGUGUAGCGGUGAAAUGCUUAGAUAUCACGAAGAACUCCGUUUGCGAAGGCAGCCUGCUAAGCUGCAACUGACGUUGAGGCUCGAAAGUGUGGGUAUCAGACAGG